UCACGCCUUACGGCGGCAGUCUCCCUAGAGUGCCCUUGCGUAGCAACUAGGGACAAGGGUUGCGCUCGUUGCGGGACUUAACCCAACAUCUCACGACACGAGCUGACGACAGCCAUGCAGCACCUGUGUUCCGAUUCCCUUUCGGGCACCCCCACCUCUCAGCAGGGUUCCGGACAUGUCAAGGGUAGGUAAGGUUGUUCGCGUUGCAUCGAAUUAAUCCACAUCAUCCACCGCUUGUGCGGGUCCCCGUCAAUUCCUUUGAGUUUUAACCUUGCGGCCGUACUCCCCAGGCGGAUCACUUCACGCGUUAGCUACGGUACCCAGGAAUCGCUUCCCGAACACCCAGUGAUCAUCGUUUAGGGCGUGGACUAC
RNAcentral lists this unclassified non-coding RNA (372 nucleotides) under uncultured Gammaproteobacteria bacterium. RNAcentral's name for it is "contains 16S-23S intergenic spacer region". The record is from RNAcentral. Lineage: Bacteria; Pseudomonadati; Pseudomonadota; Gammaproteobacteria.